RNAcentral lists this ribosomal RNA (249 nucleotides) under uncultured bacterium. RNAcentral describes it as "partial 16S ribosomal RNA". It matches the Rfam family "Bacterial small subunit ribosomal RNA", at positions 110 to 353 of the family's 1533-position model. The record is from RNAcentral.
GUAACGCGUGGGGAAUCUGCCUUUGAGCGGGGGACAACAUUUGGAAACGAAUGCUAAUACCGCAUAAAAACUUUAAACACAAGUUUAAGUUUGAAAGAUGCAAUUGCAUCACUCAAAGAUGAUCCCGCGUUGUAUUAGCUAGUUGGUGAGGUAAAGGCUCACCAAGGCGAUGAUACAUAGCCGACCUGAGAGGGUGAUCGGCCACAUUGGGACUGAGACAUGGCCCAAACUCCUACGGGAGGCAGCAUG